This 3916-nucleotide long non-coding RNA is filed under the name Homo sapiens (human). RNAcentral's name for it is "HSALNT0155499". Lineage: Eukaryota; Metazoa; Chordata; Mammalia; Primates; Hominidae. The record is from RNAcentral.
GCUAGCUGUUCAGAGGUCAGGCGCUGGUCAGAACAUGAGGAAGGAGGAACACGGUGGCCAUAUCUGAAGUGAUCUAGUAAACAGGAGACAUUUCCUCCAGGAAGUCUGUAGUGGGUAAGACCCAGUUACUACCCUUGAGGAAAGGAAGGUGAUGGGAACUAGCAUCUAUUAUGCACUGUGUGCCAGACUUGAGUAAACACUUCCAAGUCCUGUUCCUUGACUCCUAUGAGGUUAGUAACUUUUAUCAUCGCCAUUUUAAAGGAAGGCUCAGAGGCACUCUGCAGUCACACAGCUGGAGGGGUGCAGUGAGACGCGGAGGCUCCAAGUCUCUUCUGGACUAGGCCUGGAUCUGCCACCUCUUCUUUCGGCUGUGGAUGGCCCUGGGAGACACGCCUGGCCUCAGAUGCCCCUUGACCCAACUGGAGGAAGGGUGGGGGGCCCAGCAGAAAAGCCUGCAGCCUCCCUGGGCACCGUUUCAAAGCUGAUGCUGCUCUCCCUGCUCUGGGUCUCAGCUCCUCCCCUCUUCUGCAUUGUUGACCAACAGCCUGGGUCUGACGCGGAAGCAGAAGAAUUCCCAUUCAACUGGGCCCCAGGGAUGGGGGGCCUCUCUGCCAGUAAGUGACACCCUCUGCUACUGAAAGGCCUCAUGUUCCUGCCCUGCCAAGCCUGGGGUGGCCACCACGUGACAGCACCAGGGACACGUGUCUUCUGGGACCGCUUGUGAGCUGGGUGGCUGGCAAGUUUGUUUCUCCAUGUCCCGCAGCAGGGGCAAGGGUGUGGGUGGUCAUAAUGCACCAGGGCUCUGGGCGGGCUGAGCAGAGUGCAGUUCCUGCUGCCAGCCCCGAUAUGGCACGGACAGCUGGAAAAACUGACCAUGUGGCUUGACUAUCUCAGAGGAUUGCUCCAUUUUUCCUCAGCAUAAUUUUUCCAUGAAUAAUCUUUAAAGCUCUUUAAGUGGCUGUUUCUUUAGCAGUUUUAUUGGAACAUAUGAGAACUGACAGUCUCUGUGGGGAACGAGAUAUCAUGUUGAAAAAAAAUCUGGUUUUCAUUACACUUCUUUCAAGAAAGCAACAGGCUGCCCAACAGACCUCUCAUUGAUUGGAAGAGAAAUGAGCCCAGAGCCUCCUAACAACAGCCUUGGAGUGGACAGGAUGAUGAACAGUGAUGCCAAAGACUCAGGAUCUGAAGGCAGACAGGCCUGGUCCACCACCUGUGUCUGCCAUUUGCAGGAUGAGUGACCUUGAGUAGGUCACCUCACACCUCUGAACCUGAAUUCUACAUCUGCAAAACAGGAAUGAUGACCCUGACUGACAGCCUCCCUGUGAGGAGUAAGCCAUACAGCAUCCCUCCCUCCUUCACGUGACAAACUUUUCCUGAGUCCUGACCUCGGGGGCAGGAGCUGGAGAUACUACACUGGAUUAGAAAGAUGAGUUUCCAGUCAAGUGUGGGAGAGAGAAGUAGCCAGGAUGUAGAACCUGACAAGGGAAGAGUUCAGGAACUUGCCCAGUUGAGCAGCCAGUGAACGGGACAGCCCUGAGCACGGUGCACGUGAGAACACAGAGGGGACCCCUGGAGGGCCUGAUGUCCAGGUUCUGGGGUGGCUCGUGAGUGACAGCAGUACUGGUAUGCUGGUGAGUGCCUCAGCAGGAGCUCCCUCUGUCCCCCUACCAACUCCCCGAUGUCUGGACGGCACCAGAGCCCGCCUGGGAGGCCACGAGCUAACACUCUCAAGAGGAAAACAGGGGGAUCAAACCAAUGACCCAAGGGCCUACAGCUAAGAACUGCUGGAGCCAGGCUCUGAACUGAGCUCUGCCUGACUCCAGAGGUGGUUUCUACCACCAGGCAAUACAACAGGGAGACACGCAGGUGUGUCAGAGAGCAGUCCUCACAGUGCGAGCACAGAAACCAGAGGCCAAGGCUGAAGAUUUUCCUGGACUCGCGGUGCUGCCCAGGAAUCUUCUGAGAAAACCUGUCAGUUGGUAAAGCCACGUGGAGGCGGGGCUAACAAAAUCUGGAAAUGUCUUCACCAGUUCCAAAGUACACACAAACAUUACUUGCCCUCUCUGGGGGUCAACGUUCUUUAUGAUUUUUUUCUCUCCAGGAAAAUAUUAGUUCAUUUAUAGAAACUAAACAUUACAUGUGGAGGGAAAAUGGAAAACGUGGCAUUCUUGGCCUUUUUUCUCCACAGACACAGAAACUGAGAAGGUUUCUCCAUUUCCUUUCUCACAGCCUAUUUGUUGGUGUGGAACUGCCUGUGAAGUCAUUCUGCAGGGGUGGAAAGUGGGGGCCAGCUCUCUGUGGGCAACAGGGACCAUCCCAGAGACAAAGGGCAGCCUCAGCCCACAGACCACUUCGGACUUGAAUCAAGGCCUCAAAGGGCGAGACCUGGGCCACUGUCAAUGUGAGGGCAGGUAGGCUGGGUAGAGGGGUAGAGGCGUGGGCGCUGCCUAGAAGAGGGCCAGAGAGACCGCCCGGCACAUUGGUCUUGCUCCCACUGCCUCCUUUCAGCUCCUCAGUGUACCCAUCCUUGCCCCUGGCAGCUUUUGCUGCCUGGUUCCCCGACUAAAAUGUGAGCUUUGUGGGGAAGGUUCUUGCCUUGCUGGGCACCUGGCUCACAGCAAGUCCUUGGCCUGGAAGUCUUGGGUGAAUGAAUGAAUGAACAUGUCUUAGGGCCUCUCCUUUGCAGGUGUGGGGGAUGUGCCUACUGGAAAGGGCACCGAGCUGAAGCCUAAACCCCCUCCUGAGGAGCCAGGGAAGCCUGCGUUCCUCCCAUUCCCGGGACUGCAAGAGGCACAUUCCUGUCCCUGAGUCUGGUCAGGCUCCUGCCACGCAGCUCAGUCUGGCUGCCAGGUCCAGAAAGGCCUCCCUGGAGCUGCCCCUCUGGCCCCACCCUUCCCAGGACCCCAGGCCACCCCACAGCUGCAGCAGCACCCACUCUCUGUCUUCUGAGGCUGCUAGUGGGAAGCUGGGACCCCCGAGUGUGUCUGAAACCUUCCAGGCACUCCUCGACCCUCUAGUGAUCAAUGAAAACCUUCACAUCCUGCUUCCAGGGCUGAAGCCAGGGAUUUGGAAAAUUGGUGGAAAACACUCCUAUGAGCUGGGGCUUGCUCUGCUGUGGAAAACUGCCAGCAUCAGCACUUCUCCCAAGGCUGUGCCGAGUCAGCAGUCAGCCCACUCUGGAGCUGCCUCUGAGGACCAGGUGCCUACAGGACCCUGUAAGGAGCUUGAAGAGUUGUGGCUGACGGAGGGAUUUCUGUCCUGGGCUCUAGGAAUUCUAGACUGGGCCCUUCCUCAAGGAGCUUUCAGUCUGGCGGAGCAGACAGACAUGGGCAAAUAAGCCCACAACUAACUGUGCCAUCACUGCAGAAGGAAGUGCCACGGAGGAGCAUGAGGGCCAGUUGCAGGAAGGAGCCAGGGCCAGCAUGUGCCUGUAAAAGCCAGAUAGUAAAUAGUUCACGCUCUGCAGGCCACAGGGUCUUUGUCCCAAGCACUCAACUCUGCCACUGCUGCAUGAAAACAGCCACAGGCGAUAUGUCAACCAAAGAGGGGUGGUUGUGCCCAUAUGAAAACAGAGGGUGGAUCUGUCCCACAGUUUGCCACAGCCUGGCUGUUAGACGGCCUGACCUGAUUGGGGGUGGGGGUGAUAGUGGGGAGAAGGCUUCCCCGAGGCAGUGAUAUUUAGCUAAAAGCUGCAGGCUGAGGCAAUGAUGGAGGCAGAAUCACAAUAUGACAAUUAUGAUAAUCACAUCACCAUGAUCAAGUUCCACCUAACACGUGUGUUCUAUGUUGCGCACUGUGCUAAUAACAACACUACCCUGUGAAGGAGGAAGAUUUUAUGCCCACUUUACAGAUAGAGACACUGAGGCUUGGCAGUAUGCUGAGUAGUCUGUUCACACAAUUCAGCUGCAUUUUUUGC